UUAAGCGACUAAGCGUACACGGUGGAUGCCCUGGCAGUCAGAGGCGAUGAAGGACGUGCUAAUCUGCGAAAAGCGUCGGUAAGGUGAUAUGAACCGUUAUAGCCGGCGAUGUCCGAAUGGGGAAACCCAGUGUGAUUCGUCACACUAUCGUUAACUGAAUACAUAGGUUAACGAGGCGAACCGGGGGAACUGAAACAUCUAAGUACCCGAGGAAAAGAAAUCAACCGAGAUUCCCCCAGUAGCGGCGAGCGAACGGGGAGCAGCCCAGAGUCUGAAUCAGCUUGUGUGUUAGUGGAACGGUCUGGAAAGUCCGACGGUACAGGGUGAUAGUCCCGUACACCAAAAUGCACAGGUUGUGAACUCGAAGAGUAGGGCGGGACACGUGGUAUCCUGUCUGAAUAUGGGGGGACCAUCCUCCAAGGCUAAAUACUCCUGACUGACCGAUAGUGAACCAGUACCGUGAGGGAAAGGCGAAAAGAACCCCGGCGAGGGGAGUGAAAAAGAACCUGAAACCGUGUACGUACAAGCAGUGGGAGCACCUUCGGGUGUGACUGCGUACCUUUUGUAUAAUGGGUCAGCGACUUAUAUUCUGUAGCAAGGUUAACCGUAUAGGGGAGCCGCAGGGAAACCGAGUCUUAACUGGGCGUUAAGUUGCAGGGUAUAGACCCGAAACCCGGUGAUCUAGCCAUGGGCAGGUUGAAGGUUGGGUAACACUAACUGGAGGACCGAACCGACUAAUGUUGAAAAUUAGCGGAUGACUUGUGGCUGGGGGUGAAAGGCCAAUCAAAACCGGGAGAUAGCUGGUUCUCCCCGAAAGCUAUUUAGGUAGCGCCUCGUGAAUUCAUCUUCGGGGGUAGAGCACUGUUUCGGCUAGGGGGUCAUCCCGACUUACCAACCCGAUGCAAACUACGAAUACCGAAGAAUGUUAUCACGGGAGACACACGGCGGGUGCUAACGUCCGUCGUGAAGAGGGAAACAACCCAGACCGCCAGCUAAGGUCCCAAAGUCAUGGUUAAGUGGGAAACGAUGUGGGAAGGCACAGACAGCCAGGAUGUUGGCUUAGAAGCAGCCAUCAUUUAAAGAAAGCGUAAUAGCUCACUGGUCGAGUCGGCCUGCGCGGAAGAUGUAACGGGGCUAAACCAUGCACCGAAGCUGCGGCAGCGACACUAUGUGUUGUUGGGUAGGGGAGCGUUCUGUAAGCCUGCGAAGGUGUGCUGUGAGGCAUGCUGGAGGUAUCAGAAGUGCGAAUGCUGACAUAAGUAACGAUAAAGCGGGUGAAAAGCCCGCUCGCCGGAAGACCAAGGGUUCCUGUCCAACGUUAAUCGGGGCAGGGUGAGUCGACCCCUAAGGCGAGGCCGAAAGGCGUAGUCGAUGGGAAACAGGUUAAUAUUCCUGUACUUGGUGUUACUGCGAAGGGGGGACGGAGAAGGCUAUGUUAGCCGGGCGACGGUUGUCCCGGUUUAAGCAUGUAGGCUGGUUGUCCAGGCAAAUCCGGAUAAUCAAGGCUGAGGUGUGAUGACGAGGCACUACGGUGCUGAAGUAACAAAUGCCCUGCUUCCAGGAAAAGCCUCUAAGCAUCAGGUAACAUCAAAUCGUACCCCAAACCGACACAGGUGGUCAGGUAGAGAAUACCAAGGCGCUUGAGAGAACUCGGGUGAAGGAACUAGGCAAAAUGGUGCCGUAACUUCGGGAGAAGGCACGCUGGUGUGUAGGUGAAGUCCCUGCGGAUGGAGCUGAGACCAGUCGAAGAUACCAGCUGGCUGCAACUGUUUAUUAAAAACACAGCACUGGUGCAAACACGAAAGUGGACGUAUACGGUGUGACGCCUGCCCGGUGCCGGAAGGUUAAUUGAUGGGGUUAUCCGUAAGGAGAAGCUCUUGAUCGAAGCCCGGUAAACGGCGGCCGUAACUAUAACGGUCCUAAGGUAGCGAAAUUCCUUGUCGGGUAAGUUCCGACCUGCACGAAUGGCGUAAUGAUGGCCAGGCUGUCUCCACCCGAGACUCAGUGAAAUUGAACUCGCUGUGAAGAUGCAGUGUACCCGCGGCAAGACGGAAAGACCCCGUGAACCUUUACUAUAGCUUGACACUGAACAUUGAGCCUUGAUGUGUAGGAUAGGUGGGAGGCUUUGAAGCGUGGACGCCAGUCUGCGUGGAGCCAACCUUGAAAUACCACCCUUUAAUGUUUGAUGUUCUAACGUUGGCCCCUUACCGGGGUUGCGGACAGUGUCUGGUGGGUAGUUUGACUGGGGCGGUCUCCUCCCAAAGCGUAACGGAGGAGCACGAAGGUUAGCUAAUCCUGGUCGGACAUCAGGAGGUUAGUGCAAUGGCAUAAGCUAGCUUGACUGCGAGCGUGACGGCGCGAGCAGGUGCGAAAGCAGGUCAUAGUGAUCCGGUGGUUCUGAAUGGAAGGGCCAUCGCUCAACGGAUAAAAGGUACUCCGGGGAUAACAGGCUGAUACCGCCCAAGAGUUCAUAUCGACGGCGGUGUUUGGCACCUCGAUGUCGGCUCAUCACAUCCUGGGGCUGAAGUAGGUCCCAAGGGUAUGGCUGUUCGCCAUUUAAAGUGGUACGCGAGCUGGGUUUAGAACGUCGUGAGACAGUUCGGUCCCUAUCUGCCGUGGGCGCUGGAGAAUUGAGGGGGGCUGCUCCUAGUACGAGAGGACCGGAGUGGACGCAUCACUGGUGUUCGGGUUGUCAUGCCAAUGGCACUGCCCGGUAGCUAAAUGCGGAAGAGAUAAGUGCUGAAAGCAUCUAAGCACGAAACUUGCCCCGAGAUGAGUUCUCCCUGAGACUUUAAGUCUCCUGAAGGAACGUUAAAGACGAUGACGUUGAUAGGCCGGGUGUGUAAGCGCAGCGAUGCGUUGAGCUAACCGGUACUAAUGAACCGUGAGGCUUAACCUU
RNAcentral lists this ribosomal RNA (2899 nucleotides) under Klebsiella pneumoniae. Its description in RNAcentral is "bacterial LSU rRNA". It matches the Rfam family "Bacterial large subunit ribosomal RNA". Lineage: Bacteria; Pseudomonadati; Pseudomonadota; Gammaproteobacteria; Enterobacterales; Enterobacteriaceae. The record is from RNAcentral.